RNAcentral lists this ribosomal RNA (311 nucleotides) under uncultured Sandonidae. RNAcentral's name for it is "SSU rRNA". The stretch from base 96 to 311 matches the Rfam family "Eukaryotic small subunit ribosomal RNA", at positions 738 to 955 of the family's 1831-position model. The record is from RNAcentral. Lineage: Eukaryota; Cercozoa; Glissomonadida; Viridiraptoridae.
GAUCUGUGCCAUAGGACGUGGUCCACCUUCGGGUGCGUACUACGCUCCUAGGCUUUUUGCUGGUUUUCCCGUCGUAGCCUUCACUGGUUGCGGCGGGUGGCUGGCGAGUUUACUUUGAGAAAAUCAGAGUGCUCAAUACAGGCGUAUCGCUUGAAUGAUUGUGCAUGGAAUAAUAGAAAAGGAUUUCGGUCCUCUUUUAUUGGUUUUGUGGACUGAGAUAAUGGUUAACAGGGACAAACGGGGGCAUUCGUAUCUCUGCGUGAGAGGUGAAAUUCUUGGACCGUAGAGAGACGCCCUACUGCGAAAGCAUU